This 635-nucleotide ribosomal RNA is filed under the name Triticum aestivum (bread wheat). RNAcentral describes it as "partial small subunit ribosomal RNA". Lineage: Eukaryota; Viridiplantae; Streptophyta; Magnoliopsida; Poales; Poaceae. The record is from RNAcentral.
UUAAGAGUCUUGGUAUUCAUGACUUGGUUAAUUUUGAUUUUAUGGACCCACCUCCUUCAGAGGCCUUGUUGAAGGCCCUGGAACAACUUUUUGCUCUUAGUGCACUCAACAGUCGUGGAGAGUUGACCAAGACUGGAAGACGAAUGGCAGAGUUUCCACUAGAUCCUAUGCUGUCAAAGAUGAUAGUAGCUUCAGAGAAAUAUAAGUGUUCUGAUGAGGUCAUGUCCAUUGCGUCAAUGCUGUCGAUCGGCAAUUCUAUAUUCUACCGUCCGAAGGACAAACAGGUUCAUGCAGAUAAUGCAAGGUUGAACUUCCACACUGGGAACAUUGGGGACCACAUAGCAUUACUCAAUGUCUAUAACUCAUGGAGAGAAACAGACUUCUCGACUCAAUGGUGUUAUGAAAAUUAUAUCCAGGUCCGCAGCAUGAAGAGAGCAAGAGACAUUCGAGAUCAACUGGAGGGACUUAUGGAGAGAGUUGAGAUUGAGGUCUGUUCAAAUGCCAGUGACUUGGAUGCUAUUAAAAAGGCUAUAACAUCCGGUUUCUUCCACCAUUCUGCACGGUUGCAGAAGAAUGGUUCAUAUAGAACUGUCAAGAACCGUCAGACGGUCUUUAUCCACCCUAGUUCAGGAUUA